UUCCGGUUGAUCCUGCCGGAGGUUACUGCUAUUGGAAUCCGAUUAAGCCAUGCGAGUCGAUCGGGUUUAGACCCGAGGCACACUGCUCAGUAACGCGUGGAGAAUCUGCCCUUAGGUGAGAGAUAACCUCGGGAAACUGAGAAUAAUAUCUCAUAGGUUAUGAAUGCUGGAACGCUUCAUAGCUAAAAGCCCUGGCGCCUAAGGAUGACUCUGCGGACUAUCAGGUAGUAGUCAGGGUAAUAACCUGACUAGCCUACGACGGAUACGGGGUGUGAGAGCACUAGCCCGGAGAUGGAUUCUGAGACACGAAUCCAGACCCUAAGGGGUGCAGCAGGCGCGAAACUUCCGCAAUGCUCGCAAGAGUGACGGAGGGAUUCCAAGUGCCUGUGCAAUGCGUAGGCUGUUCUCAUGUCUAAAUAACAUGGGGAGUAAGAGCUGGGUAAGACGGGUGCCAGCCGCCGCGGUAAUACCUGCGGCUCGAGUGGUAACCACUAUUAUUGGGCCUAAAGCGUCCGUAGCCGGUUUAGUAAAUAUCUGGGUAAAUCGUGAGGCUUAGCUUCACGAAUUUCGGAUAGACUGCUAGACUUGGGACCGGGGGAGGUCAGAGGUACGCCAGGGGUAGCGGUGAAAUGUUGUAAUCCUUGGAGGACCACCGGUAGCGAAGGCGUCUGACUAGAACGGGUCCGACGGUGAGGGACGAAGCCCUGGGGCGCAAACCGGAUUAGAUAUCCGGGUAGUCCAGGGCGUAAACGCUGCUUGCUUGAUGUUAGUUGGGCUCCGAGCCCAAUUAGUGUCGGAGAGAAGUUGUUAAGCAAGCUGCCUGGAAGUACGGUCGCAAGACUGAAACUUAAAGGAAUUGGCGGGGAGCACAGCACGGGUGGAGCGUGCGGUUUAAUUGGAUCACGCCGG
Molecule: ribosomal RNA, 909 nt
Filed under: uncultured archaeon
Lineage: Archaea
Description: bacterial SSU rRNA
Rfam family: Archaeal small subunit ribosomal RNA
Source: RNAcentral